RNAcentral lists this ribosomal RNA (2954 nucleotides) under Staphylococcus aureus subsp. aureus 71193. RNAcentral's name for it is "bacterial LSU rRNA". It matches the Rfam family "Bacterial large subunit ribosomal RNA". Lineage: Bacteria; Bacillati; Bacillota; Bacilli; Caryophanales; Staphylococcaceae. The record is from RNAcentral.
CGUUUGACUUAUAAAAAUGGUGGAAACAUAGAUUAAGUUAUUAAGGGCGCACGGUGGAUGCCUUGGCACUAGAAGCCGAUGAAGGACGUUACUAACGACGAUAUGCUUUGGGGAGCUGUAAGUAAGCUUUGAUCCAGAGAUUUCCGAAUGGGGAAACCCAGCAUGAGUUAUGUCAUGUUAUCGAUAUGUGAAUACAUAGCAUAUCAGAAGGCACACCCGGAGAACUGAAACAUCUUAGUACCCGGAGGAAGAGAAAGAAAAUUCGAUUCCCUUAGUAGCGGCGAGCGAAAUGGGAAGAGCCCAAACCAACAAGCUUGCUUGUUGGGGUUGUAGGACACUCUAUACGGAGUUACAAAGGACGACAUUAGACGAAUCAUCUGGAAAGAUGAAUCAAAGAAGGUAAUAAUCCUGUAGUCGAAAAUGUUGUCUCUCUUGAGUGGAUCCUGAGUACGACGGAGCACGUGAAAUUCCGUCGGAAUCUGGGAGGACCAUCUCCUAAGGCUAAAUACUCUCUAGUGACCGAUAGUGAACCAGUACCGUGAGGGAAAGGUGAAAAGCACCCCGGAAGGGGAGUGAAAUAGAACCUGAAACCGUGUGCUUACAAGUAGUCAGAGCCCGUUAAUGGGUGAUGGCGUGCCUUUUGUAGAAUGAACCGGCGAGUUACGAUUUGAUGCAAGGUUAAGCAGUAAAUGUGGAGCCGUAGCGAAAGCGAGUCUGAAUAGGGCGUUUAGUAUUUGGUCGUAGACCCGAAACCAGGUGAUCUACCCUUGGUCAGGUUGAAGUUCAGGUAACACUGAAUGGAGGACCGAACCGACUUACGUUGAAAAGUGAGCGGAUGAACUGAGGGUAGCGGAGAAAUUCCAAUCGAACCUGGAGAUAGCUGGUUCUCUCCGAAAUAGCUUUAGGGCUAGCCUCAAGUGAUGAUUAUUGGAGGUAGAGCACUGUUUGGACGAGGGGCCCCUCUCGGGUUACCGAAUUCAGACAAACUCCGAAUGCCAAUUAAUUUAACUUGGGAGUCAGAACAUGGGUGAUAAGGUCCGUGUUCGAAAGGGAAACAGCCCAGACCACCAGCUAAGGUCCCAAAAUAUAUGUUAAGUGGAAAAGGAUGUGGCGUUGCCCAGACAACUAGGAUGUUGGCUUAGAAGCAGCCAUCAUUUAAAGAGUGCGUAAUAGCUCACUAGUCGAGUGACACUGCGCCGAAAAUGUACCGGGGCUAAACAUAUUACCGAAGCUGUGGAUUGUCCUUUGGACAAUGGUAGGAGAGCGUUCUAAGGGCGUUGAAGCAUGAUCGUAAGGACAUGUGGAGCGCUUAGAAGUGAGAAUGCCGGUGUGAGUAGCGAAAGACGGGUGAGAAUCCCGUCCACCGAUUGACUAAGGUUUCCAGAGGAAGGCUCGUCCGCUCUGGGUUAGUCGGGUCCUAAGCUGAGGCCGACAGGCGUAGGCGAUGGAUAACAGGUUGAUAUUCCUGUACCACCUAUAAUCGUUUUAAUCGAUGGGGGGGACGCAGUAGGAUAGGCGAAGCGUGCGAUUGGAUUGCACGUCUAAGCAGUAAGGCUGAGUAUUAGGCAAAUCCGGUACUCAUUAAGGCUGAGCUGUGAUGGGGAGAAGACAUUGUGUCUUCGAGUCGUUGAUUUCACACUGCCGAGAAAAGCCUCUAGAUAGAAAAUAGGUGCCCGUACCGCAAACCGACACAGGUAGUCAAGAUGAGAAUUCUAAGGUGAGCGAGCGAACUCUCGUUAAGGAACUCGGCAAAAUGACCCCGUAACUUCGGGAGAAGGGGUGCUCUUUAGGGUUAACGCCCAGAAGAGCCGCAGUGAAUAGGCCCAAGCGACUGUUUAUCAAAAACACAGGUCUCUGCUAAACCGUAAGGUGAUGUAUAGGGGCUGACGCCUGCCCGGUGCUGGAAGGUUAAGAGGAGUGGUUAGCUUCUGCGAAGCUACGAAUCGAAGCCCCAGUAAACGGCGGCCGUAACUAUAACGGUCCUAAGGUAGCGAAAUUCCUUGUCGGGUAAGUUCCGACCCGCACGAAAGGCGUAACGAUUUGGGCACUGUCUCAACGAGAGACUCGGUGAAAUCAUAGUACCUGUGAAGAUGCAGGUUACCCGCGACAGGACGGAAAGACCCCGUGGAGCUUUACUGUAGCCUGAUAUUGAAAUUCGGCACAGCUUGUACAGGAUAGGUAGGAGCCUUUGAAACGUGAGCGCUAGCUUACGUGGAGGCGCUGGUGGGAUACUACCCUAGCUGUGUUGGCUUUCUAACCCGCACCACUUAUCGUGGUGGGAGACAGUGUCAGGCGGGCAGUUUGACUGGGGCGGUCGCCUCCUAAAAGGUAACGGAGGCGCUCAAAGGUUCCCUCAGAAUGGUUGGAAAUCAUUCAUAGAGUGUAAAGGCAUAAGGGAGCUUGACUGCGAGACCUACAAGUCGAGCAGGGUCGAAAGACGGACUUAGUGAUCCGGUGGUUCCGCAUGGAAGGGCCAUCGCUCAACGGAUAAAAGCUACCCCGGGGAUAACAGGCUUAUCUCCCCCAAGAGUUCACAUCGACGGGGAGGUUUGGCACCUCGAUGUCGGCUCAUCGCAUCCUGGGGCUGUAGUCGGUCCCAAGGGUUGGGCUGUUCGCCCAUUAAAGCGGUACGCGAGCUGGGUUCAGAACGUCGUGAGACAGUUCGGUCCCUAUCCGUCGUGGGCGUAGGAAAUUUGAGAGGAGCUGUCCUUAGUACGAGAGGACCGGGAUGGACAUACCUCUGGUGUACCAGUUGUCGUGCCAACGGCAUAGCUGGGUAGCUAUGUGUGGACGGGAUAAGUGCUGAAAGCAUCUAAGCAUGAAGCCCCCCUCAAGAUGAGAUUUCCCAACUUCGGUUAUAAGAUCCCUCAAAGAUGAUGAGGUUAAUAGGUUCGAGGUGGAAGCAUGGUGACAUGUGGAGCUGACGAAUACUAAUCGAUCGAAGACUUAAUCAA